GUACUUAACUAAGAUCUCUGUUUAUGACAAGAGUGAGAAGGCGGUGUUUGUCCUUCUUUGUGAUGCUGGUCGUGAAUUGACUGGCAAGCAUGCUUCAGAGUUAGUUGCAAGAUACUUUGAGUUUAACGAGGAUGUGGGAGCUGAUCACACUGUCCCGGUUCCACAAACUCUCAUGGAUACCAUUGGUCAGACACGCAAGUUUGUUGUCCAAGUCUCUCAGCAUAACCUCACUGGCAAGACUCAAACCAUCACUGUCACAAAGGUACUCCCAGAACCAGCUCCACAAAACGCCAUUGAAGAUCCAGCAGAUGAGAGGAUUAGAAAGGCUUCUGACAGUCUUGAAUCACAGGAAGCUAAGCGUGCUAAGAGUGAAUAAUAUAUCUUAAGUCAUUGCCUGCUUCAUAGUUUUCAUUUCAGACUUUGCUUUCUUUAAAAUUUAUGUUUCAGACUAUACUCCUUAUUACGGUAGAUUCUCCAUUUUUGAUGUUUGGAUGCAAUCAAAUAUGGUUUUGAGAUUUUCGUUUGGGUGCAAAUGAGUUUUUUUUUAACUAUGAUCUAAAAUUCUUAUAUUACUCUUUGAUCAAUAUAAAAAUUCUUUUUUAGGUUCAAUAAAUGUGAUAAACUCAUGUGGAACACAAAUUUUUAGUCUUGGUAUUUUAGAAAACUAAAAAAAUAUUUUUGUUACAUAAAAAAAUGGAAAAAAAAAUUAUAUAUAACAUUCAACCAACAAAAAUAUGGUAUAUUCACAUUAAACCGAAAGUUUUCUUUAAAAUUAAAUAGCAAGCGGUUUAUAAAUAAAUAACCCGGGAGUAGUCCGGGAAAAAAACCUAGUAUAUAUAUAUAUCAAUACAAUACUAAAAGGGGAUAUAAACCAUGGAGAAAGUGUCCACGUCGACAGAAAAAAUCGACCAAUAGGAGAACAGUUCUCUGCCUCGUCAGAUACGCUUCGACAAACCCUUAUUUUCCCAAAAUCGAAUCUCGGACCUUUCUCUUCGUCUUCUCCGUCGUCUUCGUUUCAUGCGUUUACAAUUGAUCGUAACCCACAGGCCAUUUGCUUUUGGAAUCUAUGUUUGGAGGCGUAUUUUCUGUGCCUGUGAAUAAUCCUCACUUGCGCAAAUCUGGAAGUAUAAUCAUGAGACGAAGGCUUGCACUGCGACUUCGCGUGCCUGAUCUAUACCCUCCUGAGGAUGAAGCUCACGGAGGAGCGCGUGAAGUCGAUUGUCUGCGACGCGGUCGAGAUCGAGAGGGAGUUUGUGUGCGACGCGCUUCCGUGUGCGUUGGUGUGGAUGACCCGUGAGCUGAUGAGUCAGUAUAUCGAGUCCGUGGUGGAUAGGCUUUUGGGUGCGCUUGGGUACGGGAAGGUGUACGGUGUGGCGAAUCCGUUUGAUUGGAUGGAGUUGAUUUCGCUUCAGGGGAAAACGAACUUCUUCGAGAAGAGAGUUAGUGACUACCAGAAAGCUUCUGUUAUGUCUAGCUUCCGUUUGAUAAUCAUUGAAACUCAUGGCUAGGUACUAUUGCCAAAUUGUGAAGCCCUUUUAGUCCUUAGCAGCCUCAAGGUUGCUCUGUAUGUUGGUGGUCUUUAUAUUUGUGGAAAGGUUGGAGAUUUUGAUUUAGCUUUUGAUUUGCCUCUAUAGUUUUGAAUUCUUUUCAUUAUAUGAACAUGUUUAAAAAACUUGCAGGUUGGAUGGGAAUCUGUAAUGAAAAUGGGACAAGACACACGAGAACUGUUCUUCUAUGAAACAUUUCUAUAUUACAACCCUCUCCUCAUUGUAAGUCUUUGUCGAAAUCAGAAACUCAAACCCUUAACGUGUGUUUCAUUCCUCUAAUAUAUAUUCAAUUACUUUCAGACAAUGAUGGUUUGGCUCUGGGGUGUUAAUCUAUGGGUGUUUUCUCGAACUGGAGUCGAUUACGCAGCAAUAUUUUAUCUAGGACCAGAUCAUCAUAGUCACAAAGAGAUAUGGAAGGUAUUACAAUUCCUUAGUUACCUACCAUCUUUAUCCAAUGAUUUUCUAAAAAAUCUGAGGGUGUAACAGUGUGCUAGGUGGAUGACGACGAUAAUAUUAACUAGCAUGACUGCGUAUCUGUAUCUAUACUCCCAUGGAGAUGUGUCCUUGGCUGCUUCUCAACCAGUGUAAUAUAUGUAUCUUCUCUUAUUUUUAGAGAUAUUUUUUAUUCAUUUUGUUUCAUAGAGUUUUGACAUUUUUUUUCUGAUGUUUUCCAGAUUGUUUUGUAUCUCUCUGUUGUGAUCAUUCCCAUCACCCCUUUCGAUAUCUUCUACAAGGUAGGUUGAUCUCGACGAAAAAACAUUUCGAUCCAAGUGAUUGCUCCUGCAGCAGAAAACGUUGAGGUACCAACCAAGACAGUGGAGAAAACCGUUGUGGUUACCGAACAGGCGGAAGGGGGAUAGGCCGCGACAGAGUAUGCUCCAGCUCCAGUCGCCGUAACUGAACAAUCCGAAGCACCAGUCGAAGGAACGAGCAAGGAAGUGGUUGUGGAAGAGGCAGAGAAAAAAGAUGAAGAAACUGAGAAGAAACCAGAGGAGCCAAAGGUAGAGGAGGAAGAAGACAAGACAGAAACUCCGGUCGUUGUGGAGGAGG
This is a long non-coding RNA of Brassica napus (rape), 2597 nucleotides long. RefSeq lists it as uncharacterized. The transcript is spliced from 3 exons. The record is from RefSeq and is a predicted model, not a curated record. Lineage: Eukaryota; Viridiplantae; Streptophyta; Magnoliopsida; Brassicales; Brassicaceae.